Molecule: non-coding RNA, 626 nt
Organism: Paramuricea clavata
Lineage: Eukaryota; Metazoa; Cnidaria; Anthozoa; Malacalcyonacea; Plexauridae
Source: the annotation of a GenBank genome assembly
CGUUACUUUGAACAUUGCUAUUCGAUGAUUCUCUCAUCACGUUGCCUUUGAAAGAUACGUUACUUUGAACAUUGCUACUCGAUGAUCCUGUCAUCAUGUUGCCUUUGAAAGAUACGUUACUUUGAACAUUGCUAUUCGAUGAUCCUGUCAUCAUGAUGCCUUUGAAAGAUACGUUACUUUGAACAUUGCUAUUCGAUGAUUCUCUCAUCACGUUGCCUUUGAAAGAUACGUUACUUUGAACAUUGCUAUUCGAUGAUUCUCUCAUCACGUUGGCUUUGAAAGAUACUUUACUUUGAACAUUGCUACUCGAUGAUUCUCUCAUCACGUUACCUUUGAAAGAUACGUUACUUUGAACAUUGCUACUCGAUGAUUCUCUCAUCACGUUGCCUUUGAAAGAUACUUUACUUUGAACAUUGCUAUUUGAUGAUCCUGUCAUCACGUUGCCUUUGAAAGAUACGUUACUUUGAACAUUGCUACUCGAUGAUUCUCUCAUCACGUUGCCUUUGAAAGAUACUUUACUUUGAACAUUGCUAUUUGAUGAUUCUGUCAUCACGUUGCCUUUGAAAGAUACUUUACUUUGAACAUUGCUACUCGAUGAUUCUCUCAUCACGUUGCCUUUGAAAGAU